This 20-nucleotide non-coding RNA is filed under the name Zea mays. Lineage: Eukaryota; Viridiplantae; Streptophyta; Magnoliopsida; Poales; Poaceae. The record is from RNAcentral.
GGAUUCAUCACCAUGCACGG